Molecule: ribosomal RNA, 732 nt
Filed under: Triticum aestivum (bread wheat)
Lineage: Eukaryota; Viridiplantae; Streptophyta; Magnoliopsida; Poales; Poaceae
Description: partial small subunit ribosomal RNA
Source: RNAcentral
AUGCACGCACGCAGCCCACCCCCACCACCUCGCCCGCGUGCCGAUCCACUCGCCAGCCGGCAAACCCUCCGCCACCGCCAGACCUUCGGCCGGCAAACCCUCCACCGCCGGCAGACCUUCGUCCUCCCCUUCCUCUGCCCCGCCUCCUCCGGCUCCCUCCUUCCCCUUCUUGUGGGCAGGGCGCCCGACGCGGGAGGCCGCUUCGGCUCCUCCAGCGGGGACUGGAGGCGCAAGCCGGGCUUGGCCGGUGCGGGAGGCAGCUUCGACUCCUCCAGCGGGGAUGGGCGGCGCAAGACGGGCUUGGCCGGUGCUGGCAGAGCGGCCGGCGUGGGAGGCCGCUGCAGCUUCUCCAGCAGGGCGGGCGGCGCGAGCAGGGCUUGGCCGGUGCGGGCAGAGCGGCCGGCGCGGGAGGCUGCUGCAGCUUCUCCAAGGGCGGGCGGCGCGAGCAGGACAUGGCUGUUGCGGGCAGAGCGGCCAGCGCGGGAGGCCGCUGCGAGCGACGCACGAGCGGGCGGCGGGCGUGUGGCGCGAGAUGGGCACGACCGGCGCGGGAGGCCGCUGCGGGCAGGGGAACAGCUCCGGUUGGUUCUUCGGGCCGGCGUGGGCAUAGCGGAUAGCUUCUCCUCCGUUUGGCUCCCAUUGGUGCUGCGGGCCGGCGUGGGCAGGGCAAGGCGGUGGAAGUGGAAUCCCUGUGGUUUUGUCUCCGGCCAAAAGAAGGACGGCCGGUGGUGA